ACGGGGUGCAGCAGGCGCGAAAACUGGCCAAUGCGCGAAAGCGUGAGCCGGCUAAUCCGAGUGAUCUCCCAUCGGAGAUCUUUUGUUAUGUGUUCACAGCAUGACGAAUAAUGAGAGGGCAAGACUGGUGCCAGCCGCCGCGGUAAAACCAGCUCUUAGAGUGGUGGGCAUGAUUAUUUGGCUUAAAGGGUGCGUAGCAGGACAGCGUAAGUCCCCCGUGAAAUGCCAGGUCUUAAGCUUGGCGCGGGCGGGGGAUACUGUGCGUCUUGGGACCGGGAUAGGUAUAAGGUAUGCAUUGGGUAGGGGUGAAAUCCGAUAAUCCAAUGCAGACCGCCGGUGGCGAAGGCGUUAUACUGGAACGGGUCCGACUGUGAGGCACGAAAGCUAGGGUCGCGAGCCGGAUUAGAUACCCGGGUAGUCCUAUGCUGUAAACGAUGCUCACUAAGUGUUAGGCAAUGCAAGACGUUGUCUAGUGCCGAAGGGAAACCGUUAAGUGAGCCGCCUGGGAAGUACGUUCGCAAGAAUGAAACUUAAAGGAAUUGGCGGGGGCCUACUACAAGAAGUGGAGCCUGCGGUUUAAUUGGACUCAACUCCGGGAAGCUCACCUGGGCCGUAACGUGAAUGAUUGUCCUGCUGAAGACACUACUUGAUGCGUUACUGGAG
This 663-nucleotide ribosomal RNA is filed under the name uncultured archaeon. Its description in RNAcentral is "bacterial SSU rRNA". It matches the Rfam family "Archaeal small subunit ribosomal RNA", at positions 325 to 989 of the family's 1478-position model. The record is from RNAcentral.